GAGCCCUGGAUAGAGCAGGUGUGAGGCAGCUGGAACCCUGGCUAGAGCAGGUGUGUGGCAGCUGGAAGCCUGGAUAGAGCAGGUGUGUGGCAGCUGGAGCCCUGGAUAGAGCAGGUGUGAGGCAGCUGGAGCCCUGGCUAGAGCAGGUGUGAGGC
This is a long non-coding RNA of Erinaceus europaeus (western European hedgehog), 155 nucleotides long. RefSeq lists it as uncharacterized. The record is from RefSeq and is a predicted model, not a curated record. The transcript has 3 exons. NCBI's taxonomy places the organism in Eukaryota, Metazoa, Chordata, Mammalia, Eulipotyphla, Erinaceidae.